AGAGUUUGAUCCUGGCUCAGGAUGAACGCUAGCGACAGGCUUAACACAUGCAAGUCGAGGGGCAGCACAGGUAGCAAUACCGGGUGGCGACCGGCGCACGGGUGAGUAACGCGUAUGCAACUUACCUAUCAGAGGGGGAUAACCCGGCGAAAGUCGGACUAAUACCGCAUGAAGCAGGGGCCCCGCAUGGGGAUAUUUGCUAAAGAUUCAUCGCUGAUAGAUAGGCAUGCGUUCCAUUAGGCAGUUGGCGGGGUAACGGCCCACCAAACCGACGAUGGAUAGGGGUUCUGAGAGGAAGGUCCCCCACAUUGGUACUGAGACACGGACCAAACUCCUACGGGAGGCAGCAGUGAGGAAUAUUGGUCAAUGGCCGAGAGGCUGAACCAGCCAAGUCGCGUGAGGGAUGAAGGUUCUAUGGAUCGUAAACCUCUUUUAUAAGGGAAUAAAGUGCGGGACGUGUCCCGUUUUGUAUGUACCUUAUGAAUAAGGAUCGGCUAACUCCGUGCCAGCAGCCGCGGUAAUACGGAGGAUCCGAGCGUUAUCCGGAUUUAUUGGGUUUAAAGGGUGCGUAGGCGGCCUUUUAAGUCAGCGGUGAAAGUCUGUGGCUCAACCAUAGAAUUGCCGUUGAAACUGGGGGGCUUGAGUAUGUUUGAGGCAGGCGGAAUGCGUGGUGUAGCGGUGAAAUGCAUAGAUAUCACGCAGAACCCCGAUUGCGAAGGCAGCCUGCCAAGCCAUGACUGACGCUGAUGCACGAAAGCGUGGGGAUCAAACAGGAUUAGAUACCCUGGUAGUCCACGCAGUAAACGAUGAUCACUAGCUGUUUGCGAUACACUGUAAGCGGCACAGCGAAAGCGUUAAGUGAUCCACCUGGGGAGUACGCCGGCAACGGUGAAACUCAAAGGAAUUGACGGGGGCCCGCACAAGCGGAGGAACAUGUGGUUUAAUUCGAUGAUACGCGAGGAACCUUACCCGGGUUUGAACGCAUUCGGACCGAGGUGGAAACACCUUUUCUAGCAAUAGCCGUUUGCGAGGUGCUGCAUGGUUGUCGUCAGCUCGUGCCGUGAGGUGUCGGCUUAAGUGCCAUAACGAGCGCAACCCUUGCCACUAGUUACUAACAGGUAAAGCUGAGGACUCUGGUGGGACUGCCAGCGUAAGCUGCGAGGAAGGCGGGGAUGACGUCAAAUCAGCACGGCCCUUACAUCCGGGGCGACACACGUGUUACAAUGGCGUGGACAAAGGGAGGCCACCUGGUGACAGGGAGCGAAUCCCCAAACCACGUCUCAGUUCGGAUCGGAGUCUGCAACCCGACUCCGUGAAGCUGGAUUCGCUAGUAAUCGCGCAUCAGCCAUGGCGCGGUGAAUACGUUCCCGGGCCUUGCACACACCGCCCGUCAAG
RNAcentral lists this ribosomal RNA (1395 nucleotides) under uncultured bacterium. RNAcentral's name for it is "bacterial SSU rRNA". It matches the Rfam family "Bacterial small subunit ribosomal RNA". The record is from RNAcentral.